RNAcentral lists this transfer RNA (73 nucleotides) under Marmota monax (woodchuck). RNAcentral describes it as "tRNA.Ala". It matches the Rfam family "tRNA". Rfam says of the family: Transfer RNA (tRNA) molecules are approximately 80 nucleotides in length. Their secondary structure includes four short double-helical elements and three loops (D, anti-codon, and T loops). The record is from RNAcentral. Lineage: Eukaryota; Metazoa; Chordata; Mammalia; Rodentia; Sciuridae.
UGGGGUUGUGGCUCAGUGGCAGAGCACUUGCCUUGCACAUAUGAGGCACUGGGAUCAAUCCUCAGCACCACAA